Molecule: ribosomal RNA, 379 nt
Filed under: uncultured Alphaproteobacteria bacterium
Lineage: Bacteria; Pseudomonadati; Pseudomonadota; Alphaproteobacteria
Description: bacterial SSU rRNA
Rfam family: Bacterial small subunit ribosomal RNA
Source: RNAcentral
GAGUUUGAUCAUGGCUCAGAACGAACGCUGGCGGCAGGCCUAAAACAUGCAAGUCGAGCGCCCAGCAAUGGGAGCGGCGGACGGGUGAGUAACACGUGGGAAUGUACCUUUCGGUUCGGAACAACCCAGGGAAACUUGGGCUAAUACUGGAUACGCCCUUACGGGGAAAGAUUUAUCGCCGAAAGAUCAGCCCGCGUUGGAUUAGCUAGUUGGUGAGGUAACGGCCCACCAAGGCGACGAUCCAUAGCUGGUUUGAGAGAACGACCAGCCACACUGGGACUGAGACACGGCCCAGACUCCUACGGGAGGCAGCAGUUGGGAAUCUUGGACAAUGGGGGAAACCCUGAUCCAGCCAUGCCGCGUGAGUGAUGAAGGCCUU